GAUGAACGCUGGCGGCGUGCUUAACACAUGCAAGUCGAACGGAAAGGCCCAAGCUUGCUUGGGUACUCGAGUGGCGAACGGGUGAGUAACACGUGGGUGAUCUGCCCUGCACUUCGGGAUAAGCCUGGGAAACUGGGGCUAAUACCGGAUAGGACGAUGGUUUGGAUGCCAUUGUGGAAAGAUUUUUGGGUGUGGGAUUGGCUCGCGGCCUAUCAGAUUGUUGGUUGGGUAAUGGCCUAUCAAGGCGUCGACGGGUAGCCGGCCUGGGAGGGGGUACGGCCACAUUUGGACUGGGAAUCGGCCCAGACCCCCACGGGAGGCAGCAGUUGGGAAUAUUGCACAAUGGGCGCAAGCCUGAUGCAGCGACGCCGCGUGGGGGAUGACCGCCUUCCGGUUGGAAACUCCUUUCGCUAGGGACGAAGCGUUUUGUGACGGUACCUGGUGAAGAAGCACCGGCUAACUACGUG
This 467-nucleotide ribosomal RNA is filed under the name uncultured bacterium. RNAcentral describes it as "partial 16S ribosomal RNA". It matches the Rfam family "Bacterial small subunit ribosomal RNA", at positions 28 to 507 of the family's 1533-position model. The record is from RNAcentral.